AACGAACGCUGGCGGCAGGCCUAACACAUGCAAGUCGAACGCUCGUAGCAAUACGAGAGUGGCAGACGGGUGAGUAACGCGUGGGAACGUACCUUUCGGUUCGGAAUAACCCGGGGAAACUCGGGCUAAUACCGGAUACGUCCUGCCCCUUAAACAAGGGUGGGAGAAAGAUUUAUCGCCGAAAGAUCGGCCCGCGUCGGAUUAGCUAGUUGGGCGGGGUAACGGCCCACCAAGGCGACGAUCCGUAGCUGGUCUGAGAGGAUGAUCAGCCA
This 272-nucleotide ribosomal RNA is filed under the name uncultured bacterium. Its description in RNAcentral is "partial 16S ribosomal RNA". It matches the Rfam family "Bacterial small subunit ribosomal RNA", at positions 29 to 310 of the family's 1533-position model. The record is from RNAcentral.